Molecule: ribosomal RNA, 422 nt
Filed under: uncultured soil bacterium
Lineage: Bacteria
Description: bacterial SSU rRNA
Rfam family: Bacterial small subunit ribosomal RNA
Source: RNAcentral
AGUGGCGGACGGGUGAGUAAUACGUGGGUAACCUACCCUAAAAUUGGGAAUAUCUUACUUAAUAGUUUGGUAAUACCAGAUAGUAUAAUAGAAAUGAAAGGUGCGUUUUAAGAUGGGCCCGCGCUCUAUUAGCUAGUUGGUAGGGUAAUGGCCUACCAAGGCUCCGAUGGAUAGCCGGCCUGAGAGGGCGAACGGCCACACUGGGAUUGAGAUACGGCCCAGACUCCUACGGGAGGCAGCAGUCGGGAAUUUUGGGCAAUACCCGCAAGGGUGACCCAGCGAUACCACGUGAGUGAUGAAGUUCUUUGGAAUGUAAAGCUCUGUCAGGGGAUGAGUGACUGUCCCCAGAGGAAGCUCCGGCCAACUCCGUGCCAGCAGCCGCGGUAAUACGGGGGGAGCAAGCGUUGCCCGGAAUCACUGGG